CAGUCGCCGCGGUAAUACGGAGGGUGCAAGCGUUAAUCGGAAUUACUGGGCGUAAAGCGCACGCAGGCGGUCUGUCAAGUCAGAUGUGAAAUCCCCGGGCUUAACCUGGGAACUGCAUUUGAAACUGGCAGGCUAGAGUCUUGUUGAGGGGGGUAGAAUUCCAGGUGUAGCGGUGAAAUGCGUAGAGAUCUGGAGGAAUACCGGUGGCGAAGGCGGCCCCCUGGACAAAGACUGACGCUCAGGUGCGAAAGCGUGGGGAGCAAACAGGAUUAGAUACCCCUGUAGUCCCUGUCUCUUAUAA
This 301-nucleotide ribosomal RNA is filed under the name uncultured bacterium. RNAcentral describes it as "partial 16S ribosomal RNA". It matches the Rfam family "Bacterial small subunit ribosomal RNA", at positions 509 to 809 of the family's 1533-position model. The record is from RNAcentral.